CGUAGGGUGCAAGCGUUAAUCGGAAUUACUGGGCGUAAAGCGUGCGCAGGCGGUUUUGUAAGUCUGUCGUGAAAUCCCCGGGCUCAGCCUGGGAAUUGCGAUGGAGACUGCAAGGCUAGAAUCUGGCAGAGGGGGGUAGAAUUCCACGUGUAGCAGUGAAAUGCGUAGAGAUGUGGAGGAACACCGAUGGCGAAGGCAGCCCCCUGGGUCAAGAUUGACGCUCAUGCACGAAAGCGUGGGGAGCAAACAGGAUUAGAUACCCUGGUAGUCCACGCCCUAAACGAUGUCUACUAGUUGUCGGGUUUUAAUUAACUUGGUAACGCAGCUAACGCGUGAAGUAGACCGCCUGGGGAGUACGGUCGCAAGAUUA
Molecule: ribosomal RNA, 370 nt
Filed under: uncultured organism
Description: bacterial SSU rRNA
Rfam family: Bacterial small subunit ribosomal RNA
Source: RNAcentral